RNAcentral lists this ribosomal RNA (449 nucleotides) under uncultured bacterium. Its description in RNAcentral is "partial 16S ribosomal RNA". It matches the Rfam family "Bacterial small subunit ribosomal RNA", at positions 29 to 523 of the family's 1533-position model. The record is from RNAcentral.
AACGAACGCUGGCGGCAUGCCUAAUACAUGCAAGUCGAACGAGAUCUUCGGAUCUAGUGGCGCACGGGUGCGUAACGCGUGGGAAUCUGCCCUUGGGUUCGGAAUAACUUCUGGAAACGGAAGCUAAUACCGGAUGAUGACGUAAGUCCAAAGAUUUAUCGCCCAAGGAUGAGCCCGCGUAGGAUUAGCUAGUUGGUGGGGUAAAGGCCCACCAAGGCGACAAUCCUUAGCUGGUCUGAGAGGAUGAUCAGCCACACUGGGACUGAGACACGGCCCAGACUCCUACGGGAGGCAGCAGUAGGGAAUAUUGGACAAUGGGCGAAAGCCUGAUCCAGCAAUGCCGCGUGAGUGAUGAAGGCCUUAGGGUUGUAAAGCUCUUUUACCCGGGAUGAUAAUGACAGUACCGGGAGAAUAAGCUCCGGCUAACUCCGUGCCAGCCGCCGCCGUAA